UAAGAUCCAAGCAAGUGGUUCAAAAUGC
Molecule: non-coding RNA, 28 nt
Filed under: Mus musculus (house mouse)
Lineage: Eukaryota; Metazoa; Chordata; Mammalia; Rodentia; Muridae
Source: RNAcentral